RNAcentral lists this ribosomal RNA (253 nucleotides) under uncultured bacterium. RNAcentral's name for it is "partial 16S ribosomal RNA". It matches the Rfam family "Bacterial small subunit ribosomal RNA", at positions 524 to 776 of the family's 1533-position model. The record is from RNAcentral.
UACGUAGGGGGCAAGCGUUGUCCGGAAUCAUUGGGCGUAAAGCGCGUGUAGGCGGUUCGAUAAGUCUGCUGUGAAAGUCCAGGGCUCAACCCUGGGAUGCCGGUGGAUACUGUCGGACUAGAGUACGGAAGAGGCGAGUGGAAUUCCGGGUGUAGCGGUGGAAUGCGUAGAGAUCCGGAAGAAUACCGGUGGCGAAGGCGGCCUGCUGGGCAGUGGCUGACACUGAGGCGCGACAGCGUGGGGAGCAAACAGG